RNAcentral lists this ribosomal RNA (495 nucleotides) under uncultured bacterium. Its description in RNAcentral is "partial 16S ribosomal RNA". It matches the Rfam family "Bacterial small subunit ribosomal RNA", at positions 28 to 505 of the family's 1533-position model. The record is from RNAcentral.
GAUGAACGCUGGCGGCGUGCCUAAUACAUGCAAGUCGAGCGAACAGACGAGGAGCUUGCUCCUCUGACGUUAGCGGCGGACGGGUGAGUAACACGUGGAUAACCUACCAAUAAGACUGGGAUAACUUCGGGAAACCGGAGCUAAUACCGGAUAAUAUAUUGAACCGCAUGGUUCAAUAGUGAAAGACGGUUUUGCUGUCACUUAUAGAUGGAUCCGCGCCGCAUUAGCUAGUUGGUAAGGUAACGGCUUACCAAGGCAACGAUGCGUAGCCGACCUGAGAGGGUGAUCGGCCACACUGGAACUGAGACACGGUCCAGACUCCUACGGGAGGCAGAAGUAGGGAAUCUUCCGCAAUGGGCGAAAGCCUGACGGAGCAACGCCGCGUGAGUGAUGAAGGUCUUCGGAUCGUAAAACUCUGUUAUUAGGGAAGAACAAAUGUGUAAGUAACUAUGCACGUCUUGACGGUACCUAAUCAGAAAGCCACGGCUAACUACG